CCUACGGGUGGCAGCAGUGAGGAAUAUUGGUCAAUGGACGAGAGUCUGAACCAGCCAAGUCGCGUGAAGGAAGACUGCCCUAUGGGUUGUAAACUUCUUUUAUAUGGGAGCAAAAUGUUCCACGUGUGGCAUUUUGUGUGUACCCGAUGAAUAAGGAUCGGCUAACUCCGUGCCAGCAGCCGCGGUAAAACGGAGGGUCCGAGCGUUAUCCGGAUUUAUUGGGUUUAAAGGGAGCGUAGGUGGAUUGUUAAGUCAGGGGUGAAAGUUGGGGGCUCAACCGUCACAUUGCAGUUGAAACUGGCAGUCUUGAGUACAGGAGAGGUAGGCGGAAUUCGUGGUGUAGCGGUGAAAUGCUUAGAUAUCACGAAGAACUCCGAUUGCGAAGGCAGCUUACUGGACUGCAACUGACGCUGAGGCACGAAAGUGUGGGUAUCGAACAGGAUUAGAUACCCUAGUAGUC
Molecule: ribosomal RNA, 460 nt
Filed under: uncultured bacterium
Lineage: Bacteria
Description: partial 16S ribosomal RNA
Rfam family: Bacterial small subunit ribosomal RNA
Source: RNAcentral